Molecule: long non-coding RNA, 958 nt
Filed under: Dasypus novemcinctus (nine-banded armadillo)
Lineage: Eukaryota; Metazoa; Chordata; Mammalia; Cingulata; Dasypodidae
Description: lncRNA (ENSDNOG00000049820.1)
Source: RNAcentral
AUGUUUGUCAGAGAAGCCCGAGCAUCCAGUGCCGCCUCCACCUGCACCCGCGUCUCAGGGACGGCCCAUGCGCCAACUCCGCCAGCAGUGCGUGAAAUGACCCAAGGCUGGGGAAAAACACCUCGGCAGAGACACGAAAGUGCAAAAACCCUCUGGUCACCCCCAGAGCCGCCUGCGGGGAGCACUUCGGAGGACAGCGAUGCAUCCCUUCCUGUGGCCGCGUGGCCAGCCGCCCCAGGACACGGGCUUCCAGCGGCGCGGGCCGGCUCUCUUCCCUCCUGGAGGCCAAAAGUGGGAGGUGCCGCCCGUCCACGACGCAGCCCCCUUUCUCUCAGGGCUCAGGUGACACGGCCCCUCCCCGGCCUCUGGACAGCUAGGGAUGCGUCGUUCUUCCCCUGCUCUUUCCCGAUGUGCAAUAGUCUUUGAUUUUUUACGCAUAUUUUGUAACAUAGGGAAUUAUUUUACCAAAAUGAAAUCAUACCCGAUGUGCAAUUGUGUCCACUGCGUUUUUCGGUUAACCGGCUCCUUCUCUCCGUGUCAACCCGUCUUGUUGGAUGCCUGCUGUCCGUCCGGUGCCUCCCAUCCGCCCCUAAUGUCCUGCACAGCCGGUUUGUCCAAACCGGGUUCAGAGUCCAGCCCAGGACCACCCCUUGAAUCUCCACCUCUUACAGAUUAUUUUAAUAUAGCAAAUCCACCUGCUUUUAAAAUUUUUCAUCAUUAUCAUAUUUAACGGCACCGACUUGCAGGAGAGACCCCGCUAGUUAUCCCGCCGAAUUUCUCACCUUCCGAAAUUUUCUGGUUGCUGCUCUCCUGAAUGAAUCGUCACUUGUUUCUCUCUUCUUUGUAUUUCUCGUGACCUGCGAAGUGAGCUCUCAAGGCGUGAGUGACAGAAAGGGAGGAAGGCGCUUACGAUGCGAUGCCGGGGGGACUCGAAGGCCCAGGUCAAGGACACGUCCCG